AAAAACCUGGAAUUCUGAAAUUUUUGAAGACUCCCAUGAAUCUGCCUAGAGUUGUAACUCCAAUAAAAAAUAAUGGAAGCAAACCCAACUCAGAUCAAGACUCUGAUACCAAAUUGUUGCAUAACAGCCUGCAGACUUAGUGAAACAGAGGAAUAGGGGGAGAAAGAGAUAGAAAUAAAUGAGAAAAGAAUAGAAGUAGAUG
RNAcentral lists this unclassified non-coding RNA (202 nucleotides) under Hevea brasiliensis (rubber tree). Lineage: Eukaryota; Viridiplantae; Streptophyta; Magnoliopsida; Malpighiales; Euphorbiaceae. The record is from RNAcentral.